Molecule: small nuclear RNA, 107 nt
Organism: Phyllostomus discolor (pale spear-nosed bat)
Lineage: Eukaryota; Metazoa; Chordata; Mammalia; Chiroptera; Phyllostomidae
Source: RefSeq, a predicted model, not a curated record
GUGCUCACUUCAGCAGCACAUAAGCUAAAACUGGAACGAUACAGAGAAGAUUAGUAUGGCCCCUGUGCAAGGAUGACACACAAAUUGGUGAAGCAUUCCAUAUUAAA